RNAcentral lists this long non-coding RNA (379 nucleotides) under Elaeis guineensis (African oil palm). RNAcentral describes it as "long non-coding RNA (EGUI_LNC031290)". The record is from RNAcentral. Lineage: Eukaryota; Viridiplantae; Streptophyta; Magnoliopsida; Arecales; Arecaceae.
GCCUAAUGAGGGGGUUGUAGACCGCUCAGCACUUCAAGAUGGUAAGGACCAUUUUGGGCUUGAACAAGGAUCUGAGAGGAGCUCAUUGUUGGGUGAGUUGUCAAUAGAGGGUGCUGGGGACCCUUAUCCUACCCAUCAUUGAUUCCCAACGAAAGUGCUCUUUUGGAUUGUGCGGGGGGUGGGAAAGCUGUCCUUCCAUUCAAUCUUUAGAAGACUCUUACAGUAGCAUGAUCCAGAGAUUUAUGCUCUAAUGGAGACACAUCUUUGUGGUCUGAGCUUGGCCUAGGUUCAGCAUUGCUUCCCAGUGGAGUGGGGUUUCCUUGUAGUGGAGUCCCAAGGCCUCUCUGAGGGCAUUAUUAUUCUUUCAAAAAGCGGUAUG